UGAGGAAUAUUGGACAAUGGGUGAGAGCCUGAUCCAGCCAUGCCGCGUGCAGGAAGAAGGCGUUAUGCGUUGUAAACUGCUUUUUGCCAGGGGAUAAAAAGACCGUGCGCGGUUAAUUGAAGGUACCUGGUGAAUAAGCCACGGCUAACUACGUGCCAGCAGCCGCGGUAAUACGUAGGUGGCGAGCGUUGUCCGGAUUUAUUGGGUUUAAAGGGUGCGUAGGUGGCCCUGUAAGUCAGUGGUGAAAUAUCUCAGCUUAACUGAGAGGGUGCCAUUGAUACUGCAGGGCUUGAGUACAGAUGAGGUAGGCGGAAUUGACGGUGUAGCGGUGAAAUGCAUAGAUAUCGUCAAGAACACCGAUAGCGAAGGCAGCUUACCAAGCUGUAACUGACACUGAGGCACGAAAGUGUGGGGAUCAAACAGGAUUAGAUACCCACGUAGUCCCUGAGCGGGCUGGCAAGGCGCAU
Molecule: ribosomal RNA, 467 nt
Filed under: uncultured bacterium
Lineage: Bacteria
Description: bacterial SSU rRNA
Rfam family: Bacterial small subunit ribosomal RNA
Source: RNAcentral